Molecule: non-coding RNA, 31 nt
Filed under: Rattus norvegicus (Norway rat)
Lineage: Eukaryota; Metazoa; Chordata; Mammalia; Rodentia; Muridae
Source: RNAcentral
UCCUAGUGCUAUAGUUCCAUGAUGUCUGAGC